UACGUACCGUCCAAACGUUAUUCGGAAUCACUGGGCUUAAAGAGUUCGUAGGCAGCCCAGAAAGUUGGGUGUGAAAUCCCUCGGCUCAACCGAGGAAUUGCGCUCAAAACUACUGGGCUAGAGGGAGAUAGAGGUGAGCGGAACUGAUGGUGGAGCGGUGAAAUGCGCAGAUAUCAGGAGGAACACCGAUGGCGAAGGCAGCUCGCUGGGACGGUACUGACGCUGAGGCGCGAAAGCCAGGGGAGCAAACGGG
This 253-nucleotide ribosomal RNA is filed under the name uncultured bacterium. Its description in RNAcentral is "partial 16S ribosomal RNA". It matches the Rfam family "Bacterial small subunit ribosomal RNA", at positions 524 to 776 of the family's 1533-position model. The record is from RNAcentral.